This 2374-nucleotide long non-coding RNA is filed under the name Salmo salar (Atlantic salmon). Its description in RNAcentral is "lncRNA (ENSSSAG00000097534.1, ENSSSAG00000109109.1)". The record is from RNAcentral. Lineage: Eukaryota; Metazoa; Chordata; Actinopteri; Salmoniformes; Salmonidae.
GCCCAAUGCAUUGGCUACCUGCAGACUUGAAGGUGUCAAGUACCAAAAUUCACUUUAACAGCAGUUACGGUCCCCAAAACUACCGUCAAAUAAUAAAAAGGCCUACUUCCUGUAUUUUAGCUAGCUAGAACAAGGCCUAAUUACUGUAAAUUUAGUUAGCUGGCUAAAGUACAGUAAAUAGGGCUUGUUCUAGCUAGCUAAAUUACAGUAGGUAGCCUGCUAACGAUCAUGGAAGACGGUGAAAGGAUUCGCUAGCAGUUCUAGAUGUCAGAGAAGGGAGAGCAGGCUACUCUGGAUAGAGCAGAGAGCCAUGGGACCUCUUCAUCUGCAGGCAGUUUCAAUCAAUGUCCCAAGAGAAUAAGGGAGAUCAGCCAUGUGGGGGGCGGCAGGUAGCGGUUAGAGCGCUGGGCCAGUAACCGAAAGGUUGCUUGAUCGAAUCCCCGAGCUGACAAGUGACGCCGAAUUAUAAUCACCGCAACCAGAAAGGCAGCCUCACCCCGACUCCACUAUCCUGUCUGCCCGGUGAAUGAAGAAUCCAUCGAGUUAGAUAGCCGUGGGGGGCAUAUUGUCUGAGAGCCACGUUUCUGAAAAGCAAGGAACAUUGCAAUAGUUGGGCCAUAAGAAAUACUUUUUAUUCAAUGGGGCUAGGCAAAGCAAAGAUGACAGAAUACUUGUCUUUUCACUUAGACAACAAUAUAGCUUGAAGUACAGUAUGUUUACAAUAUCAACAAGUCUUUUAAACGUUCCAAAUUACAUUAUAUUCAUACAGUGUAAGGGGGCACUUUUGUCAUGACAAGGUGCUCUACUCAAUUGACAACAGAAUAAUUGUCCAAAGCACAGCAUAUGACAACCAUGUCAUAUAACUGAGGGAUGUCUUCUUUCAUGUCUGGAAAAAGAUGAAGAAGUAGUAGAAACUGAUGCUGCUGCAGCAUUACCCAUCUUCACAGGGGGAAUCCAGUCAACAUGGGUGUCUUGAUAUAGGUCAGCUGGUGAACCUACAGUACAUCAACAAAUGAGAAGCACACCUGACGUUAGAAUAUCAAAUCUUCAGGUCACCUAUACCAUCGCGGCUCUUAAGUGUUUGGUUGUGUUUAAUUCAUUCAGGUGUUUUAGUGUCAUAAAGAUUAAAUAUAUUGUUGGGCUGGAACAACUAUUACCAUUGGUUGCUCCAGCCUUUUUGAGGCCUUUGUCCUAUGCGGUAAUGUCCAUACAUUUUCCCUCAUUUUAUGAAUAAAGUUAUAAAAUUAUCAUUGGAUUAUCAUUUUUUGAACAAUAAUUUCCUUCAGAAUAUAUGGACGUCAUAUUGUACAAUUUGUGUCUACCCUUUUCAUGGUCAUGGCAAGAAGGGAACCAGCUUUUGUAAAAUGAACGUAAUAUUUUACAUUUCAUAGCCGAUACUGAGAAUUUAAGCAGCAGGUUAGAAGAAUUAGGUUAAGGCUGUGAAAAAAGUUAAGGUUAGCUAAAAAACAAAAUAAAACUUUUUAUGUAAAUUUGAGAAAAGCUGGAUCCCUUUAAGCAAAGACCCCUUUUCGGCCUAGAUUACAUGGUUGUUUUCAAGACAAGGUCGUUCUAAUUGAUCUGCUGUCAGUAGAGUAGGCCUAGACUACCAUCGUAUUAAAAAAGAUUAUGUUAAUAUCUCCAGUGAUAUAAAGUGUAGUAGAAUUGCAUUUAAUGUUAUCAAAGGCCACAUUUUUCCCGUGCAAAGGAAAGAAACGUCUCUGAUAUAGGAUAUAAACCUAUGCCGCUACGCGUUUAUUAACAGCCUAAAUUAUCACUAUCAAAUCUACUCAUCACAUUAAGAAUAGUAGGUUCACAUUUGCCCGCAAAUGCGAUGAUAGAGGCAUGUAAUGCUUUGUUAUAAGGGGCAUUUAUGGUGAGAAAAAAAAAUGGAUUCCCAAAACUUGAAACCCACGCGAUACAUGCUAAAAGCUAGACUACAAGCUAUCGAGCUAACUCACUUAGUGUUGUUAACGCCUGGUUAGCAUACCAGUGAAACUAAACUCAAAAUCGAUAAGACUUGACCUUCCAAUGAUGAAAUGAUCGUAGCAAACCCUGUAUUGAAAGCAGUCUGGGUUGAGGUCUUGACGGGCAAAAAGGUUUCUUCGCUUUUCUGAGUUCUUGAGUCUUAUCUCAUUGGUAUUGCCAAUGGUGUUUCAUGAUUGCGGGGAAUCUGUAAACAUCUUUUCCGGCCUUGUUUGAGGAGCCAUAUACUCCACAGAAAAUGACCGUGGUGAUGAAUCCACUAGUUCUAGUCACUUUUAUCAUUCAGUUUGGGGUAGCCCCUCGGCUGUUUUCAGAAUAAUUAAUGCAGUGGUCUUCCAACAUGGCCGCCAGGAGGCGUUCUACGUCAACUGAAAGCUCUCCAGGGUUGCCA